AACAGGAUUAGAUACCCUGGUAGUCCACGCCCUAAACGAUGGAUACUAGGCGUAAGAGGUAUCGACCCCUCUUGUGCCGCAGCCAACGCAUUAAGUAUCCCGCCUGGGGAGUACGGCCGCAAGGUUGAAACUCAAAUGAAUUGACGGGGACCCGCACAAGCGGUGGAGCAUGUGGAUUAAUUCGAUACUAACCGAAGAACCUUACCCAGGUUUGACAUCGAUCGUAAGCUCUAGAGAUAGGGCCCUCCCCCACAAGGGGACGUGAAGACACUUGUUGCAUGGCUGUCGUCAGCUCGUGCCGUGAGGUGUACGGUUAAGUCCGCCAACGAGCGCAACCCUCGUCCUGUGUUACCAGCGAGUAAAGUCGGGAACUCACAGGAGACCGCCGGUGUAAGCCGGAGGAAGGUGAGGAUGACGUCAAGUCAGCAUGGCAGUUACGCCUGGGGCUUCACACAUGCUACAAUGGGCGAAACAAAGGGCAGCAAAACCGUGAGGUAGAGCCAAUCCCAAAAAUACGCCCCCAGUUCAGAUUGCAGUCUGCAACUCGACUGCAUGAAGGCGGAAUCGCUAGUAAACGCAGGUCAGCUAUACUGCGUUGAAUACGUUCCCGGGUCUUGUACACACCGCCCGUCAAGUCACCUGAAUUGUCUUCACCCGAAGUCCGUGGCCCAACCGUAAGGAGGGAGCGGCCGAAGGUGAGGGGGGUAAGGGGGACUAAGUCGUAACAAGGUAACCGUA
This 738-nucleotide ribosomal RNA is filed under the name uncultured Armatimonadota bacterium. Its description in RNAcentral is "bacterial SSU rRNA". It matches the Rfam family "Bacterial small subunit ribosomal RNA", at positions 771 to 1504 of the family's 1533-position model. The record is from RNAcentral. Lineage: Bacteria; Bacillati; Armatimonadota.